Molecule: non-coding RNA, 792 nt
Organism: Misgurnus anguillicaudatus (oriental weatherfish)
Lineage: Eukaryota; Metazoa; Chordata; Actinopteri; Cypriniformes; Cobitidae
Source: RefSeq, a predicted model, not a curated record
UCUCGCGAGAUAAUGUCACGCGUUCUUCCGGAAGUUCACAUUCAAACAGGAGGAGCGGUUACGAGGGAGUUUUGUCUAUAUAUCAUUCAAAAUCUACUGUUGGGAAAAGCAGAACCUCAUCCAAAUAAAAAUAAACAAGCUGUUAAAGGCACUGUGUCCUACACAGACCCUCCAAAAUAUAACCACCCAAAACCCAAGUCAGUUGAAGAUCAACACAAACCAAAUGAAGAUGCACAUUCUACAAACAAUAAAAAAAGAUCAAGUUUUGUGUCCAACACACUUGGAUGAGACGUGCCCGACCCCUGACUUUGUCUACCCUACAUUAAGUUGCACACUUCAUGACAGUAAACAUCUGUAUCAAGAUGGUGUGAUUGAUCUAUACCCUAGAAUAAGCUGUGACACUAUGAGACGGUCACAUAAUGAACAGCCAUCUUACAGACACCCGAAAGAGGCAUAGUAUUGUUUUCUUGUGUAUUGUCAUACACCUAAAGAGGAUUUUUUUAAAUCAUACAAUUAUGGUGUUAUUCAUUCAUUAAUGAGUUCUUUCUUAUCUUAAAUAACUUUUCAUUUUUCACUUCUUUUAUUUUUAAUGUCUAUAUAGUAUUCUCUACAAUCCCAAAUUCUGGAUUGACGCCCCAGUACCAGAGGGCACGCCAAUCCCAGAGAGCAUCCAUCUGAAAGCAGGUGAGGUAACACAAGAAAAACUAACAGGAUGGAGACUACCUGAUUCUUCACCUAUGGCCUCAGCUUCAAAUGCAAGAAGUAAGAAAUGCUAUAUGACUGUGUAUUUUG